This is a long non-coding RNA of Coregonus clupeaformis (lake whitefish), 4136 nucleotides long. RefSeq lists it as uncharacterized. The record is from RefSeq and is a predicted model, not a curated record. Lineage: Eukaryota; Metazoa; Chordata; Actinopteri; Salmoniformes; Salmonidae. The transcript has 3 exons.
AGGGGUUCAAACAUGUUGAUAACUGGCGUUCAUGUCGAGGUUGAUAACUGGCGUUCAUGUUGAGGUUGAUAACUGGCGUUCAUGUUGAUAACUGGCGUUCAUGUCGAGGUUGAUAACUGGCGUUCAUGUCGAGGUUGAUAACUGGCGUUCAUGUUGAUAACUGGCGUUCAUGUCGAGGUUGAUAACUGGCGUUCAUGUUGAUAACUGGCGUUCAUGUCGAGGUUGAUAACUGGCGUUCAUGUUGAGGUUGAUAACUGGCGUUCAUGUCGAGGUUGAUAACUGCCGUUCACGUCGAGGUUGAUAACUGGCGUUCAUGUUGAUAACUGGCGUUCAUGUCGAGGUUGAUAACUGGUGUUCAUGUUGAUAACUGCCGUUCAUGUUGAGGUUGAUAACUGGCGUUCAUGUUGAUAACUGGCGUUCAUGUCGAGGUUGAUAACUGGCGUUCAUGUCGAGGUUGAUAACUGGUGUUCAUGUUGAUAACUGGCGUUCAUGUCGAGGUUGAUAACUGGCAUUCAUGUCGAGGUUGAUAACUGGCGUUCAUGUUGAUAACUGGCGUUCAUGUCGAGGUUGAUAACUGGCAUUCAAGUCGAGGUUGAUAACUGGUGUUGAGGUUGAUAACUGGUGUUAAUGUCGAGGUUGAUAACUGCCGUUCAUGUCGAGGUUGAUAACUGGCGUUCACGUCGAGGUUGAUAACUGGCGUUCAUGUUGAGGUUGAUAACUGGCGUUCAUGUUGAGGUUGAUAACUGGCAUUCAUGUUGAGGUUGAUAACUGCCGUUCAUGUCGAGGUUGAUAACUGGCGUUCAUGUUGAGGUUGAUAACUGGUGUUGAGGUUGAUAACUGGCGUUCAUGUUGAGGUUGAUACAGCUGUUCAUGUCGAGGUUGAUAACUGGCGUUCAUGUUGAGGUUGAUAACUGGUGUUGAGGUUGAUAACUGGUGUUAAUGUCGAGGUUGAUAACUGGCGUUCAUGUCGAGGUUGAUAACUGGCAUUCAUGUCGAGGUUGAUAACUGGCAUUCAUGUCGAGGUUGAUAACUGGCAUUCACGUCGAGGUUGAUAACUGGCGUUCACGUCGAGGUUGAUAACUGGCGUUCACGUCGAGGUUGAUAACUGGCGUUCAUGUUGAGGUUGAUAACUGGCGUUCAUGUUGAGGUUGAUAACUGCCGUUCAUGUUGAGGUUGAUAACUGGCGUUCAUGUCGAGGUUGAUAACUGGCGUUCAUGUCGAGGUUGAUAACUGCCGUUCAUGUUGAGGUUGAUAACUGGCGUUGAGGUUGAUAACUGGCGUUCAUGUUGAGGUUGAUAACUGGCGUUCAUGUCGAGGUUGAUAACUGCCGUUCAUGUUGAGGUUGAUAACUGGCGUUCAUGUUGAGGUUGAUAACUGCCGUUCAUGUUGAGGUUGAUACAGCUGUUCAUGUCGAGGUUGAUAACUGCCGUUCAUGUUGAGGUUGAUAACUGGUGUUGAGGUUGAUAACUGGUGUUAAUGUCGAGGUUGAUAACUGGCGUUCAUGUCGAGGUUGAUAACUGGCAUUCAUGUCGAGGUUGAUAACUGGCAUUCAUGUCGAGGUUGAUAACUGGCAUUCACGUCGAGGUUGAUAGCUGGCGUUCACGUCGAGGUUGAUAACUGGCGUUCACGUCGAGGUUGAUAACUGGCAUUCAUGUUGAGGUUGAUAACUGGCGUUCAUGUUGAGGUUGAUAACUGGUGUUGAGGUUGAUAACUGGUGUUCAUGUUGAGGUUGAUAACUGGCGUUCAUGUUGAGGUUGAUAACUGCCGUUCAUGGUGAGGUUGAUAACUGGCGUUCAUGUCGAGGUUGAUAACUGCCGUUCAUGUCGAGGUUGAUAACUGGCGUUCAUGUUGAGGUUGAUAACUGGUGUUGAGGUUGAUAACUGGUGUUAAUGUCGAGGUUGAUAACUGGCGUUCAUGUCGAGGUUGAUAACUGGCAUUCAUGUCGAGGUUGAUAACUGGCAUUCAUGUCGAGGUUGAUAACUGGCAUUCACGUCGAGGUUGAUAACUGGCGUUCACGUCGAGGUUGAUAACUGGCAUUCAUGUUGAGGUUGAUAACUGGUGUUGAGGUUGAUAAUUGGCGUUCAUGUUGAGGUUGAUACAGCUGUUCAUGUCGAGGUUGAUAACUGCCGUUCAUGUUGAGGUUGAUAACUGGUGUUGAGGUUGAUAACUGGUGUUAAUGUCGAGGUUGAUAACUGGCGUUCAUGUCGAGGUUGAUAACUGGCAUUCAUGUCGAGGUUGAUAACUGGCAUUCAUGUCGAGGUUGAUAACUGGCAUUCACGUCGAGGUUGAUAACUGGCGUUCACGUCGAGGUUGAUAACUGGCGCUCACGUCGAGGUUGAUAACUGGCGUUCAUGUUGAGGUUGAUAACUGGCGUUCAUGUUGAGGUUGAUAACUGCCGUUCAUGUUGAGGUUGAUAACUGGCGUUCAUGUCGAGGUUGAUAACUGGCGUUCAUGUCGAGGUUGAUAACUGCCGUUCAUGUUGAGGUUGAUAACUGGCGUUGAGGUUGAUAACUGGCGUUCAUGUUGAGGUUGAUAACUGGCGUUCAUGUCGAGGUUGAUAACUGCCGUUCAUGUUGAGGUUGAUAACUGGCGUUCAUGUUGAGGUUGAUAACUGCCAUUCAUGUUGAGGUUGAUACAGCUGUUCAUGUCGAGGUUGAUAACUGGCGUUCAUGUUGAGGUUGAUAACUGGUGUUGAGGUUGAUAACUGGUGUUAAUGUCGAGGUUGAUAACUGGCGUUCAUGUCGAGGUUGAUAACUGGCAUUCAUGUCGAGGUUGAUAACUGGCAUUCAUGUCGAGGUUGAUAACUGGCGUUCACGUCGAGGUCGAUAGCUGGCGUUCACGUCGAGGUUGAUAACUGGCGUUCACGUCGAGGUUGAUAACUGGCGUUCAUGUUGAGGUUGAUAACUGGCGUUCAUGUUGAGGUUGAUAACUGGCGUUCAUGUUGAGGUUGAUAACUGGUGUUGAGGUUGAUAACUGGUGUUCAUGUUGAGGUUGAUAACUGGCGUUCAUGUUGAGGUUGAUAACUGCCGUUCAUGUUGAGGUUGAUAACUGCCGUUCAUGUCGAGGUUGAUAACUGGUGUUCAUGUUGAGGUUGAUAACUGGCGUUGAGGUUGAUAACUGGCGUUCAUGUUGAGGUUGAUAACUGGCGUUCAUGCCGAGGUUGAUAACUGGCGUUCACGUCGAGGUUGAUAACUGGCGUUCAUGUCGAGGUUGAUAACUGGCGUUCAUGUUGAGGUUGAUAACUGGCGUUCAUGUCGAGGUUGAUAACUGGUGUUGAGGUUGAUAACUGGCGUUCAUGUUGAGGUUGAUAACUGGUGUUGAGGUUGAUAACUGGCGUUCAUGUUGAGGUUGAUAACUGGCUUUCAUGUUGAGGUUGAUAACUGCCGUUGAGGUUGAUAACUGGCGUUCAUGUUGAGGUUGAUAACUGGCGUUCAUGUCGAGGUUGAUAACUGGCGUUCACGUCGAGGUUGAUAACUGGCGUUCAUGUCGAGGUUGAUAACUGGCGUUCAUGUUGAGGUUGAUAACUGGCGUUCAUGUUGAGGUUGAUAACUGGUGUUGAGGUUGAUAACUGGCGUUCAUGUUGAGGUUGAUAACUGCCGUUCAUGUCGAGGUUGAUAACUGGCGUUCAUGUUGAGGUUGAUAACUGGCAUUCAUGUUGAGGUUGAUAACUGCCGUUCAUGUCGAGGUUGAUAACUGGCGUUCAUGUUGAGGUUGAUAACUGGCGUUGAGGUUCAUAACUGGCGUUCAUGUUGAGGUUGAUAACUGGCGUUCAUGUCGAGGUUGAUAACUGCCGUUCAUGUUGAGGUUGAUAACUGCCGUUCAUGUUGAGGUUGAUAACUGCGUUCAUGUUGAGGUUGAUAACUGGCGUUGAGGUUCAUAACUGGCGUUCAUGUUGAGGUUGAUAACUGGCGUUCAUGUCGAGGUUGAUAACUGCCGUUCAUGUUGAGGUUGAUAACUGCGUUCAUGUUGAGGUUGAUAACUGGCGUUCAUGUUGAGGUUGAUAACUGGCGUUGAGGUUGAGGUUGAUAACUGCCGUUCAUGUUGAGGUUGAUAACUGGUGUUAAUGUUGAGGUAGAUAACUGGUGUUAAUGUUGAGGUAGAUAACUGGUGUUAAUGUUGAGGUUGAUAACUGGCAU